UCCGGCUUGCCACCGGCAGUUCCACUAGAGUGCCCAGCUUAACCUGCUGGCAACUAGUAGCGAGGGUUGCGCUCGUUGCGGGACUUAACCCAACAUCUCACGACACGAGCUGACGACAGCCAUGCAGCACCUGUGUUCCCGCCAGCCGAACUGAAGGCCGCCAUCUCUGGCAGCCAUACGGGACAUGUCAAACGUGGGUAAGGUUCUGCGCGUCGCUUCGAAUUAAACCACAUGCUCCACCGCUUGUGCGGGCCCCCGUCAAUUUCUUUGAGUUUUAACCUUGCGGCCGUACUCCCCAGGCGGAGAGCUUAAUGCGUUAGCUGCGUCACCGACAGGCAUGCCUGCCGACAACUAGCUCUCAUCGUUUACAGCGUGGACUAC
This 381-nucleotide unclassified non-coding RNA is filed under the name uncultured Hyphomonadaceae bacterium. Its description in RNAcentral is "contains 16S-23S intergenic spacer region". The record is from RNAcentral. Lineage: Bacteria; Pseudomonadati; Pseudomonadota; Alphaproteobacteria; Hyphomonadales; Hyphomonadaceae.